AACCACCCAGUUCCUGCUGAAGCUGCUGGAGACCCCCGAGGGGGGGGCGGCCCUGAGACCCCCGCCCCCCCCCCAGUUCCUGUGGAGCUCUCCGAGACCCCCCCUCGACCCAGGAGACCCCUCCCCGAAUUGGAGGCGGAAUUGGGGGGGGUCCGGCGGGGCCUGGAGGAGCUGCAGGCCCAGCUGUCAAAUUUAGGGGGGUCCCCGGCCCCCUCCCCCCCAAAUUUGGGGGUCCUGGUGGGGACUCUGACCUCGUUGGCUGCAGAUUUUGGGGCCUCUGAGCUCCGGGGCCCCCUGGCACCCCCCAGGACCCCCCAAAUUUGGGGGGAAGGGGGCCGGGUCCCCCCUGUGGGGAGGGGGCUGCGGAAUCUCGGCCAGGUUUUGGGGACCCUGACCCAGCUCGGGGCCAGCGCGGGGGAGGUGACACGGCUGGGGGGGGUCACCGAGGCCAUCGAACCCCAAAUCCCCCCCCUCUCCCAGCGCUUCCAGCCCCCCCGGUGUGGCAGGACCUGGCGGCCUCAGGUGUGACACGGAGGGGACACCUGGGGGGACACCUGUGGCACACCUGAGUGUGUGGGACACACCUGGGACACACCUGGGACAGUGUGAGUGACACCAGGGACACAUCGGAGUGUGUGUGUCACACCUGGGACACACCUGUGUGAGUGUGACCCCUGUGACAGGUCUGUGACACACCUGUGGCACCUUUGAGUGUGUCCCACCUGUCCCCAGGUGUGUCACACCUGUCCCUGUGUGUGUCACACCUGUCCUCAAGUGUGUCCCACCUGUCCCCAGGUGUGUCUGCUGCGUCUGUGGGGGAGGGGACCUGGGGGGGCGUGGCCUUGGCCCCACCCAGGGGUGUGGCACAGGUGGGCGUGGCCAGGUGGGUGUGGCCCUGACCCCACCCAAAGUGUGACCCAGGUGUGACCCAGAUGUGGGCGUGGCCCAGGUGUGGGCGUGGCCCAGGUCACUGGCCUGCCCGCAGCACUGUAAUUAAAGUCUCAUUAACGAA
Non-coding RNA from Taeniopygia guttata (zebra finch), 1012 nucleotides. The record is from RefSeq and is a predicted model, not a curated record. Lineage: Eukaryota; Metazoa; Chordata; Aves; Passeriformes; Estrildidae.